CAGCAGCCGCGGUAAUACGGAGGGUGCAAGCGUUAAUUGGAAUUACUGGGCGUAAAGCGCACGCAGGCGGUCUGACAAGUCAGAUGUGAAAUCCCCGGGCUUAACCUGGGAACUGCAUUUGAAACUGUCAGGCUGGAGUCUUGUAGAGGGGGGUGGAAUUCCAGGUGUAGCGGUGAAAUGCGUAGAGAUCUGGAGGAAUACCGGUGGCGAAGGCGGCCCCCUGGACAAAGACUGACGCUCAGGUGCGAAAGCGUGGGGAGCAAACAGGAUUAGAUACCCCUGUAGUCCCUGUCUCUUAUCC
This 301-nucleotide ribosomal RNA is filed under the name uncultured bacterium. RNAcentral describes it as "partial 16S ribosomal RNA". It matches the Rfam family "Bacterial small subunit ribosomal RNA", at positions 509 to 809 of the family's 1533-position model. The record is from RNAcentral.